GACGAACGCUGGCGGCGUGCUUAACACAUGCAAGUCGAACGGAAAGGCGCUGCUUUUGUUGCGUGCACGAUUGGCGAGGGGGGGAGUAACACGUGAGUAACCUGCCCUUGACUGUGGGAGAACUUCAGGAAACUGGGGCUAAUACCGGAUAGGAGCUCUUGCUGCAUGUUGGUGGAUGGUAAGAGUCGGCGGUUGGGGAUGGAUUCGCUGCUUAUCAGCUGGAUGGUCGGGUAGGGGCUGACCAGGGCUUUGACGGGUAGCCUGCCUGAGAGGGUGAACGGCCACAUUGGGACUGCGAUACGGCCCAGUAUCCUACGGGAGGCAGCAGUGGGGAACCUGGCGGAAUGGGGGGAAGCGUGUGGCGGAAACGCUGCGUGCGUGAUGCCGUCUUUCGGGUUGUAAACAGAUUUGGAAUGUGAUGAAGAGUGCGUGACGGUAAUGGGUAAAGAAGCCCCGGCUAACUACGUG
Molecule: ribosomal RNA, 468 nt
Filed under: uncultured bacterium
Lineage: Bacteria
Description: partial 16S ribosomal RNA
Rfam family: Bacterial small subunit ribosomal RNA
Source: RNAcentral